Molecule: transfer RNA, 142 nt
Filed under: Hapsidospora chrysogenum ATCC 11550
Lineage: Eukaryota; Fungi; Ascomycota; Sordariomycetes; Hypocreales; Bionectriaceae
Description: Acremonium chrysogenum ATCC 11550 tRNA-Pro
Source: RNAcentral
GACUCCUUGGCGCAAUGGUAGCGCGGUGAGUUGGGACUUUCUGCGUCGCAUCAAGCAAUAUAUAUAUAUACUGAUACCAAAAACAGUCAGAUUCCAGCUCGGAAUUUCCUGAAGGUCAGGCGUUCGACUCGCCUAGGGGUCA